Molecule: ribosomal RNA, 412 nt
Filed under: uncultured bacterium
Lineage: Bacteria
Description: partial 16S ribosomal RNA
Rfam family: Bacterial small subunit ribosomal RNA
Source: RNAcentral
UGGGGAAUUUUGGACAAUGGGCGCAAGCCUGAUCCAGCCAUGCCGCGUGCGGGGAGAAGGCCUUCGGGUUGUAAACCGCUUUUGUCAGGGAAGAAAUCUUCUGAGUUAAUACCUCGGGAGGAUGACGGUACCUGAAGAAUAAGCACCGGCUAACUACGUGCCAGCAGCCGCGGUAAUACGUAGGGUGCAAGCGUUAAUCGGAAUUACUGGGCGUAAAGCGUGCGCAAGCGGUUUUGUAAGACAGAGGUGAAAUCCCCGGGCUCAACCUGGGAACUGCCUUUGUGACUGCAAGGCUUGAGUGCGGCAGAGGGGGGAUGGAAUUCCGCGUGUAGCAGUGAAAUGCGUAGGUAUGCGGAGGAACACCGAUGGCGAAGGCAAUCCCCUGGGCCUGCACUGACGCUCAUGCACGAAA